CACACAAACAAGACAACAUGUCUUCUCCUAAAGGUGCAGAUGUUGACCUUGAUGCAGACUUUGUAUAUGAUUAUGAGAAGCUGCGUCUUGGAGGUCUGAUCUUUGCCGGGGUCAUUGUGUUCCUUUCCAUCAUUUUGUUGGCAGG
Haplochromis burtoni (Burton's mouthbrooder) is the source of this 145-nucleotide long non-coding RNA. RefSeq lists it as uncharacterized. The record is from RefSeq and is a predicted model, not a curated record. The transcript is spliced from 3 exons. Lineage: Eukaryota; Metazoa; Chordata; Actinopteri; Cichliformes; Cichlidae.